Molecule: ribosomal RNA, 1013 nt
Filed under: uncultured korarchaeote
Lineage: Archaea; Thermoproteati; Thermoproteota
Description: bacterial SSU rRNA
Rfam family: Archaeal small subunit ribosomal RNA
Source: RNAcentral
GCUGAGGCCCCAGGGUGGGACCGCGGCCUAUCAGGUAGUAGGUGGGGUAACGGCCCACCUAGCCUACGACGGGUACGGGCCCUGAGAGGGGGAGCCCGGAGAUGGGCACUGAGACAAGGGUCUAGGCCCUAAGGGGCGCAGCAGGCGCGAAGAUUCCGCAAUGCCCGAAAGGGCGACGGAGUGAACCCGAGUGCCACCCGCUGAGGGUGGCUGUUCCCCUGUGUAAAAAGCAGGGGGCAGGAAGGGGAGGGCAAGGCUGGUGGCAGCCGCCGCGGUAAAACCAGCUCCCCGAGGGGUUCCCACGCAUACUGGGCCUAAAGCGUCCGUAGCCGGCCCUGUAAGUCUGCAGUUAAAUCCGCCUGUAGACAGGCGGGUUGCUGCAGAUACUGCAGGGCUAGGGAGCGGGAGGAGCCGGGGGUAUUCCCGGGGGAGCGGUAAAAUGCGUAGAUCCCGGGAGGACCACCAGUGGCGAAGGCGCCCGGCUUGAACGCGUCCGACGGUGAGGGACGAAAGCUGGGGGAGCAAACCGGAUUAGAUACCCGGGUAGUCCCAGCCGUAAACGAUGCCGGCUAGGUGCUGGCCAAGGUUUCGGCCUUGGCCAGUGUCGAAGCGAAGGCAUUAAGCCGGCCGCCUGAGGAGUACGGCCGCAAGGCUGAAACUUGAAGGAAUUGACGGGGGGGCACCACAAGGGGUGAAUGCCUGCGGCUUAAUUGGACUCAACGCCGGGAAUCUUACCGGGGGCGACAGCAGGAUGAAGGUCAGGCUGAAGACCUUACCAGACGCGCUGAGGGGUGGUGCAUGGCCGUCGCCAGCUCGUGCCGUGAGGUGUCCUGUUAAGUCAGGCAACGAGCGAGACCCCCGCCCCUAGUUGCCAGCGGCCUCCUUCGGGAGGGACCGGGCAAACUAGGGGGACCGCCUCCGAAGAGGAGGAGGAAGGUGGGGGAUACGGCAGGUCAGUAUGCCCCUAAUCCCCCGGGCCGCACGCGGGCUGCAAUGGGCGGGACAGCGGGAUG